Molecule: ribosomal RNA, 252 nt
Filed under: uncultured bacterium
Lineage: Bacteria
Description: partial 16S ribosomal RNA
Rfam family: Bacterial small subunit ribosomal RNA
Source: RNAcentral
UACGUAGGGUGCGAGCGUUAAUCGGAAUUACUGGGCGUAAAGCGUGCGCAGGCGGUGAUGUAAGACAGUUGUGAAAUCCCCGGGCUCAACCUGGGAACUGCAUCUGUGACUGCAUCGCUGGAGUGCGGCAGAGGGGGAUGGAAUUCCGCGUGUAGCAGUGAAAUGCGUAGAUAUCAAGUGGAACACCGUGGCGAAGGCGAGUCCCUGGACGACUCCUGACACUGAGGCACGAAAGCUAGGGGAGCAAACAGG